GACAGAGGGUGCGAACGUUGUUCGGAAUUACUGGGCGUAAAGCGCGUGUAGGCUGUUCGGAAAGUCGGGUGUGAAAGCCCUGGGCUCAACCUAGGAAGUGCACUCGAAACUCCCGAACUGGAGUCCCGGAGAGGAAGGCGGAAUUCUCGGUGUAGAGGUGAAAUUCGUAGAUAUCGAGAGGACCAUCGCUGGCGAACGCGGCCUUCUGGACGGCGCCUGACGCUGAGACGCGGAAGCGUGGGGAGCAAACAGG
RNAcentral lists this ribosomal RNA (253 nucleotides) under uncultured bacterium. Its description in RNAcentral is "partial 16S ribosomal RNA". It matches the Rfam family "Bacterial small subunit ribosomal RNA", at positions 524 to 776 of the family's 1533-position model. The record is from RNAcentral.